RNAcentral lists this ribosomal RNA (546 nucleotides) under Escherichia coli. RNAcentral describes it as "partial 23S ribosomal RNA". It matches the Rfam family "Bacterial large subunit ribosomal RNA", at positions 2381 to 2925 of the family's 2925-position model. Lineage: Bacteria; Pseudomonadati; Pseudomonadota; Gammaproteobacteria; Enterobacterales; Enterobacteriaceae. The record is from RNAcentral.
CCUACAAGUCGAGCAGGGACGAAAGUCGGGCUUAGUGAUCCGGUGGUUCCGCAUGGAAGGGCCAUCGCUCAACGGAUAAAAGCUACCCCGGGGAUAACAGGCUUAUCUCCCCCAAGAGUCCACAUCGACGGGGAGGUUUGGCACCUCGAUGUCGGCUCAUCGCAUCCUGGGGCUGUAGUCGGUCCCAAGGGUUGGGCUGUUCGCCCAUUAAAGCGGUACGCGAGCUGGGUUCAGAACGUCGUGAGACAGUUCGGUCCCUAUCCGUCGCGGGCGCAGGAAAUUUGAGAGGAGCUGUCCUUAGUACGAGAGGACCGGGAUGGACGCACCGCUGGUGUACCAGUUGUUCUGCCAAGGGCAUCGCUGGGUAGCUAUGUGCGGACGGGAUAAGUGCUGAAAGCAUCUAAGCAUGAAGCCCCCCUCAAGAUGAGAUUUCCCAUUCCGCAAGGAAGUAAGAUCCCUGAAAGAUGAUCAGGUUGAUAGGUCUGAGGUGGAAGCGUGGUGACACGUGGAGCUGACAGAUACUAAUAGAUCGAGGACUUAACCUAU